GGGUCUUUCAAGACGAACAAGUACAUACACCUUUUUCCUUCACCUUUUAGGAUCUAACAUUCACUUUAUGUUCUAACAAUAUAUGAAGGAAGGUGAAGAACUUUAAGAACAACAACAACCACACCAAGAACAAUAACAACAAUCUUCAAGAACAACAAAAAUUCCAAUGGCCAACUCCAAUCCACAAUAACAAUAUCUCCAACACUUG
RNAcentral lists this long non-coding RNA (208 nucleotides) under Capsicum annuum. RNAcentral's name for it is "long non-coding RNA (CANN_LNC008240)". Lineage: Eukaryota; Viridiplantae; Streptophyta; Magnoliopsida; Solanales; Solanaceae. The record is from RNAcentral.